GGGUUGGCUCACCUAUUGGCGUAGGUAGCUGUCUGUAAAACAGUAGCUUAAAGCGUUGCAAGUUCAAAUCUUGCCCGACCCA
Phormidium ambiguum is the source of this 82-nucleotide non-coding RNA. Lineage: Bacteria; Bacillati; Cyanobacteriota; Cyanophyceae; Oscillatoriales; Oscillatoriaceae. The record is from Rfam.